AACAAAUUAGUACAUUCAAUACAGUUGACUUAGGAUCAACAAAAGGGGUAAACUCCUCAUUUGUUA
Molecule: transfer RNA, 66 nt
Filed under: Neotrigonia margaritacea
Lineage: Eukaryota; Metazoa; Mollusca; Bivalvia; Trigoniida; Trigoniidae
Description: tRNA-Leu
Source: RNAcentral